Molecule: non-coding RNA, 519 nt
Organism: Macaca mulatta (Rhesus monkey)
Lineage: Eukaryota; Metazoa; Chordata; Mammalia; Primates; Cercopithecidae
Source: RefSeq, a predicted model, not a curated record
GAUGAGGUUCUGAACUCAGAAACAGUGGGCUGGUAGAGAAGGAGACACAUCUGUGAGAUAUUUAGGAAGGAAAAUUGUAGGGCAGAAUGGAUCUGAAGUCAAUGAAAAAUUCUUCAUAGCUCUAGUCAUUGGACUUCCCCAGAAGACACUGAAAGGAAGGUUUGGAUGCAAGUUGUUCAUUUAGGAGGAGAUCUCAGGAAGCACAGAGUAUUUCCUUGGGUUAGGACCUCCAAGUCCUCCCCUAACUAACUGGUGUCCUUAUAAGGGAAAUUUGAACACAGAAAAGGACAGAGGGAGGACCCUAUGAAGACCCAGAGAGAAGGUGACCAUCUGCAAGCUGAGGAAGGAGAGAGGCAUCAGCAGAAAUCAACUCUGGACACUUUGAUCUCGGACUUCCAGCUUUGGGAAGUGUGAGACACUGAAUUUCGGUGUAUAAGCCAACCAAUCCAUGGUACAUGGUUAUGGCAGCCCUAGUAAGCAAAUACAAAUUUAUCUCCAAAUAAACUACUUGCAUAUGAA